GUUUUCAGGUUCCUGUGUCUUCCCGUUGAGUUGCUCGCUCCACGGCAUGGAGGACUAGGAAUCAGGAGUCAGUGGCCGUAUGCUGGAGGCUGGAGCCGCGGGAGCGCGGCUCGCCUCGCUGCGGUUGUUGGCAGCGACGGAGAUAGGAGUGCGGCUGGAGCGAUGUGCCAGGUGGUGCCAGUGCCAGCUAAUCACCUCCCUGUUGGCAGCACCGUGAACACUGUGCACCUGUCUUCAGAUGGCACUUAAAGCAGAGAAGCCUGCUGUGUGGCUGUGGGAGUCAUCAGAGAGGUGGCAGUGGAGGUUUGUUAUCGACCCAAUCAUUACAUCGCUACCCAAGAGUUGGAAACUUCCUGUGUUGCCCACGCUGGUCUCAAACUCCUGGACUCAUGGGAUCCUCCCACCUUGGCCUCCCAAAGCAGUGGUAUUACAGGCAUGAGCCAUUGCACUGGGCUCCUGUUUAGUUUUAAUUUUAAAACACCUCAAGAGUCAGAUAAUUCAGGGAAAGACCAUGCAAGGCUGUUACUGAAGAAAGUGCUACGAGUCUGUUCUAGACAUGGCUUGCCUAGCACUGAGCAUCCUUCCUCACUUCUAAGUGAGAAUUUUCCAGAUCUGUGCAUUGGGGUCCCCCAAGAAAGAGGCUCAGUCCUGAUGUACUGUUUCCUGUAUACUGCAUGCUCACCCCCCAAAACCACAUGGUUAAUCCAGAUCCAGCCCCUGCUUUCUUAGUUAUGAGGCUUCUCAUGGCAAAGCAAUAAAAAGCAAGUUUUCAAUGAUAAAGUCAUGUCUGAAAACAUGUUAAUUGUCAUCAUCUUUGAUGUUGUAACCUGAGCUAUAGAUUGUUGGGAUGCACACGUUACUCUUUUAAGCUUAUGUGCCUUGAUUCUGUCUACAUCAUUUCUUUCUUUCUGAACUGUGAACUGCGCUAAUUUGAUGGGGUUUGCUACCUGAUUGGGGUCCUGACCUUAGCCUUCAUCUUGCCAUAUACAGUUUGUUUUUGUCUCCAUCAGCGUUAGCUCUGUUCAACGCCCUUGUGGAGUCCAGGACUUAGAGAGAGGAUCUCCAAGCAGAAGCCCCCAGCCCACGUGAGAACAGGGAGACCCUUGUGCCCUUAACUGUUUUCCAUAGUACUGCCCAGCCUUGUACACUCUGGCCCAAAUGUUCCUCACCUUUGGAAGACACAGAACUUCUUUCAAAACCAUUGAAAUAUCGAGAUCAUUUCCGCAGAAAGAAAAUGUAAUUUAAGAAACGAGGUCUUGCUAUUUUGCCCAG
This 1272-nucleotide long non-coding RNA is filed under the name Homo sapiens (human). Its description in RNAcentral is "HSALNT0389130". The record is from RNAcentral. Lineage: Eukaryota; Metazoa; Chordata; Mammalia; Primates; Hominidae.